AUACUUACCUGGCAGGCAGGGAGAUACCAUGAUCAUGAAGGUGGUUCACCCAGGGCGAGGCUCAGCCAUUGCACUUCGGUUGUGCUGACCAUCGAAUUCCCCAAAUGUGGGAAUCUCGACUGCAUAAUUUGUGGUAGUGGGGGACUGCGUCGCUCUCCCCUG
Molecule: small nuclear RNA, 162 nt
Organism: Hippoglossus stenolepis (Pacific halibut)
Lineage: Eukaryota; Metazoa; Chordata; Actinopteri; Pleuronectiformes; Pleuronectidae
Product: U1 spliceosomal RNA
Exons: 1
Source: RefSeq, a predicted model, not a curated record